ACGGGAGGCAGCAGUAGGGAAUAUUGCACAAUGGGGGGAACCCUGAUGCAGCAACGCCACGUGUGGGAAGAAGCAUUUCGGUGUGUAAACCACUGUCGUGAGGGAAUAAUGCUUGGCUCCUGCCAAGUUGAAUGUACCUCGAAAGGAAGCACCGGCAAACUUCGUGCCAGCAGCCGCGGUAAUACGAGUGGUGCAAGCGUGGUUCGGAAUCACUGGGCGUAAAGGGAGCGUGGGCGGAGACGCAAGCAGUAUGUAAAAUACAGGGGCCCAACCCCGGACCUGCAGACUGGACUGUGUCUCUUGGAUAGUUCAGGGGCAGGCGGAAUUCCUGGUGUAGCGGUGGAAUGCGUAGAGAUCAGGAAGAACACCGAUGGCGAAGGCAGCCUGCUGGGGACUCAUCGACGCUGAGGCUCGAAAGUGCGGGUAGCAAACAGGAUUAGAUACCCUGGUA
Molecule: ribosomal RNA, 451 nt
Filed under: uncultured Fibrobacter sp.
Lineage: Bacteria; Pseudomonadati; Fibrobacterota; Fibrobacteria; Fibrobacterales; Fibrobacteraceae
Description: partial 16S ribosomal RNA
Rfam family: Bacterial small subunit ribosomal RNA
Source: RNAcentral